AAGAAGCUGCAUGGAUCCAAAUGUGUAUUUGUUGCCUUGAAACCCCACUCAGAGAGAGGAGGAGAUGUACGUAAUUUAUACUUUCUCAUUUGUCUAUUGUGAGGCGUAUUUUGCUUUCUUCUUCUAGUAUUACGAUACGUAGUAGUACUUCACAUUGGGACGUACCGUGCGACCGAGAGACAUGGACUCAUGGAGGCAUGUAGCUCUGCCUUGUGGUUAGAGCGUCGUUGUCGUCCAUAAAUACGCUCCAACUUCCGGAUUCAAUGGAGAGUACGUCGAGGCAGUACAUCAUCGUCGGUGCGAAUCCCCCCUUCCAACAGAGAAAACCCAGCAGCGUACUACAUGCAUUGCUGGGCCAGGGAGCAGCUACCCGUACAUCUCCACCAAACACAAAUAAAAACUACUCCACUCCUAGUACUUCGCCUGCAAAAUUUGCCGUGCUUUCACCGGCGGAUACACGCCGAGAGGACAUACGGAGACGACGACCGACCGAUGGAUAGUCGAUCGAGAGACGAUCACGGUCUCUUGACGCGCACGCCGGCAGACGACGGACGCCGCCUCGCUUUCGCCUCGAUCGUCUCGCGCGCGGACGAUCGAGACGGCGACGGUGCGUCGUCGUGGCCCCGUUUUUUUUUUUUUUUGCUGCCGCGGCCGCGCUCAGGCAGAGGCCGGCUUAACCUGUUUUUCUUUCUUCCCGUGGUUUUGCGAGAGGGCGACGUAUGAUGGAUGGGCCUUCGCGAAAGGCUGCGCGCUUUCCGUCCUCCUUGCAUGGUGUGGCUGUGGGGCGUCCAUCGGCAUGUGGCUCAUGGAGGGCUUUGGCGGAAUGGCGGCCUACCUAGCUAGGACAUCAUCCUCGGAGUUUGGGACCAUGAUUUUGGUUGCCACCACCUGUUGCCUGAACGAAUUGUCUGUGGAUUUUAAUAUAGUAUACGUGGAUCACUUAAAUCUUCA
This is a long non-coding RNA of Oryza sativa Japonica Group (Japanese rice), 951 nucleotides long. RefSeq lists it as uncharacterized. The record is from RefSeq and is a predicted model, not a curated record. Lineage: Eukaryota; Viridiplantae; Streptophyta; Magnoliopsida; Poales; Poaceae.